GAAAAUUAUAACUACCAUAUAGGAUUUGAAAGUAGCAUUCCUCCAACAAAUUCAUCCUUCUCAAGUGACUUCAUGCCGAAAGAAGAGAAUAAAAGGAGUGGACAUGUGAACAUUGUGGAACCAUCUUUGAUGCUUUUGAAAGGCUCUCUUCAACCCAGAAUGUGGGAAAGUACAUGGCAGAAGAAUAUAGAGUCAAUAGGUUGUUCCAUUCAGCUAGUGGAAGUACCUCAAAGCAGCAAUACGAGUCUGGCCUCUUUUUGCAACAAAGUAAAAAAAAUCAGAGAAAGAUAUCAUGCAGCUGAUGUUAAUUUCAAUUCUGG
Molecule: long non-coding RNA, 320 nt
Filed under: Pan troglodytes (chimpanzee)
Lineage: Eukaryota; Metazoa; Chordata; Mammalia; Primates; Hominidae
Description: long non-coding RNA NONPTRT003385
Source: RNAcentral